Molecule: ribosomal RNA, 442 nt
Filed under: uncultured bacterium
Lineage: Bacteria
Description: partial 16S ribosomal RNA
Rfam family: Bacterial small subunit ribosomal RNA
Source: RNAcentral
CCUACGGGUGGCAGCAGUAGGGAAUCUUUCACAAUGGGCGAAAGCCUGAUGGAGCAACGCCGCGUGCAGGAUGAAGGCCUUCGGGUUGUAAACUGCUUUUAUAAGCGAGAAAGAUGAUGGUAACUUAUGAAUAAGGAUCGGCUAACUACGGGCCAGCAGCCGCGGUCAUACGUAGGAUCCGAGCAUUAUCCGGAGUGACUGGGUGUAAAGAGUUGCGUAGGUGGCAUAAUAAGUAGCUAGUGAAAUCUGGUGGCUCAACCAUUCAGACUAUUAGCUAAACUGUUAAGCUCGAGACCGUUAGAGGUAACUGGAAUUUCUAGUGUAGGCGUGAAAUCCGUAGAUAUCAGGAGGAACACCAAUCGCGUAGGCAGGUUGCUGGGACGGUUCUGACACUAAGGCACGAAAGCGUAGGGAGCAAACGGGAUUAGAUACCCCUGUAGUC